This 497-nucleotide ribosomal RNA is filed under the name uncultured bacterium. RNAcentral's name for it is "partial 16S ribosomal RNA". It matches the Rfam family "Bacterial small subunit ribosomal RNA", at positions 28 to 507 of the family's 1533-position model. The record is from RNAcentral.
GAUGAACGCUGGCGGCGUGCCUAAUACAUGCAAGUCGAGCGAACAGACGAGGAGCUUACUCCUCUGACGUUAGCGGCGGACGGGUGAGUAACACGUGGAUAGCCUACCUAUAAGACUGGGAUAACUUCGGGAAACCGGAGCUAAUACCGGAUAACAUGUUGAACCGCAUGGUUCAACAGUGAAAGACGGUCUUGCUGUCACUUAUAGAUGGAUCCGCGUCGCAUUAGCUAGUUGGUAAGGUAACGGCUUACCAAGGCAACGAUGCGUAGCCGACCUGAGAGGGUGAUCGGCCACACUGGAACUGAGACACGGUCCAGACUCCUACGGGAGGCAGCAGUAGGGAAUCUUCCGCAAAGGGCGAAAGCCUGACGGAGCAACGCCGCGUGAGUGAAGAAGGUCUUCGGAUCGUAAAACUCUGUUAUUAGGGAAGAACAAAUGUGUAAGUAACUAUGCACGUCUUGACGGUACCUAAUCAGAAAGCCACGGCUAACUACGUG